This is a long non-coding RNA of Scatophagus argus, 2949 nucleotides long. RefSeq lists it as uncharacterized. The record is from RefSeq and is a predicted model, not a curated record. The transcript is spliced from 2 exons. Lineage: Eukaryota; Metazoa; Chordata; Actinopteri; Scatophagidae.
GGGGACCUGGUAGCGGGGUGAGGGGUAUGGCACAAAAUGUCACAGGAAAACAGCACCGUCACAGAGAACAUAUGGACACCACUGCAACAUCAGCACAGGGUCUACUCCAACCGAGAACGAAAACCGGAUUAAACCUGCUUUUGGAUCUUUGACUUGUUUUUGGUCAUGCCGGAUUUAUCAAGGAAACAGUCUUGGCAUAACCGGCAGGAUCAGAUGACACAGGCAGACUCCUCACUGGCAGCAGCAUUUUGUAACACCAAGCCAGUGCUGUGUUUAUCGUCCUGGAGCGUUGGGGGAGACGUCCUGUCCUGUCCUGUCCUGUCCUGUCCUGUACUGGAUCGGCACAAAAGGCCAAGAGAAAGAACGAGCUUUGAGGAAUAUUAAGAUUAGAAUGACAAAUUGGGCCAAAUCAAAAAUAGACUAAAUGAGACAUAAAAAUGCAACUACAGCAGGGUGUGUCUUUCUCUCACCCCCACCCCCCCACUGCGAGUAAGCGUCCAGGCAAAGUGUUUCAUGGUUAGAGGAGGUGUAGAGGGAUUAGCGUGCAAGACGGACAGUAAAGGUGUUGGGCGGAGCAACGCUGCGAGUGUGAAUCUGAUGUUUGAAGCUGACGGGGGGGUAGAAAGCAGAAUAGCAGGGUGUCACAGAGGAACUGCCAGCGAGGGAGAAGGCAGAUCUGCAGAUGAGAGAUACGCAAAUGUGUCGUCAAACCUACAGAUACCUCUGCUGUAAUUUCACAUACUUGAUGGUGUCGGUAAACACAAGAAAUCAGGGAAAAUGCAAAAAGAGGCUGCACGAUGCAGAUAAACUAAAACAAAAGAAAAACAUUGUUAUUCCAGACAUGCAGAUUUUGGAUUAUUUCUCAAAAGCAGAAGCUGACAGAGCUGGAAAUUCAAACUUGCACGAGCACGUCUACGACACUCGAAUACGCAGCGACGUCGACUCGCGAGUCACGCCCCAGACGAGCUCAAACCUCAGCUCAGAUGCACCGCCCCCCCUGCCCCCCCUGCCCCUCCGCCCUUCCUCCUUUCACUCCCUGUUCCUCUUGUUUACAGGAAGCAGCUGAAAGGAUAUCACCAUCAUGUCAGACCCGUCGAGUCUCACUCAUCUUAUCUAUGUUUUCUUAGGUUCACCGCGUCCACAGCAGCACCUGCUCCUGCACAGACGACGGCAUGAGAGCCAGACUAAAGCAGCCAAACGUCACAGUACAGCAUGGGGCCUCUUAAACAAAUUCUAUUGUGACAGUUGAUCUUUUUUUUAUAUUUGUUUUUGUUUUGCCAAAUUCAGCUCAGAUGAACAAAGUUAAACUGGAGUUACAUGAAAGUCCCCGCUGGCUCGCAGAAGGCCUCAGCCCUGCCGUGUUAAGAGAAAACCUGUUUCCAGUGGCAACAGCUCAGAGAUGCAGCAGAUCACGCUGACGCUGCUGUCACUGUGGACACGACAAACAUCACAGAGUCAAAUCAAAGCUGCCGACUUCCUCUGGAUUUUCCUGAUGCCGUCAGGUGAAAAAACCUUGCAGCUAAAAUCACAACUACUUCCAGAAAGAUUUUAUGAGUAUUCCUCUGAAGCUGCGGCUGUUUCACCUCACCGCAUCAGUCCUUUGGUUAUCUUCACUGCCAUCUUUAAUUUUAAGUUUAGCCUAAAUGUCUGCCGCUGCACACGUGUGUCUAGUUAAAGUCGGCUCGUUCAUUGUUCAGCAUGACACCGCAAACACGGCGGGUUUCUGUGCCUGGUACAACAUGACCCACCCAGUAAGAGGCCCAGACCUGAACAGAAACUGCCCCCCUUUCUCUGAAGUCCCAUUAAAAGACUUGUUGCCAAAUUGUUGAGGAUUGAAAAUAGUUAAUCUCUGCGUGUGCUGGUUGUAUUUUAAACGUGUAUGAUGAGGGGGAAAAAAAAGAGGUCAGGUUUUUACACACACACACACACACACACACACACACACACACACACACACACACGUGUUAGGGGAAAAUACAAGCUUGGCCUGGUGUACUAAUCGAGCACUAACAUCAGCUAAGCUACUGGAGCAAGGCAGCAGUGCAAGUUGUGGGAGAGUCUCAGCAGCACGACGAGAACCUGGACCCUGGAUCCUGGAUCCUGGAUCCUGGAUCCUGCACCAACAUGACGCCCAGCCCGCCUUAAUGCACAGCCAGAGGCCUGCUGCUGAUUCAGGGUCUCUCUCCAAUGAGACCGAAACAACACACACAACAACCUUGGACUACCUGAAUCACCUCUGACCAGAAUGACAUCAAACAGGAAACGUGAAUGAAGAGAAGGUCAGAAAUCAUCCUGAACGAGGAGAAGCAGGUCUGACAGCCCGCAGACUGGCCUGGAAGAAGUCGCCCUCCAGCUGAAGCUAAUCAAUGUCAUGUUGUUCAUUAGAAAAUGGAGAGAAUCUGUGUUGUGAGCAUUACUGACGGAAAGCUGUUUGAGAUUUAUUUCUGUCUUGUGUGUUCGUUAUUAAAAUGCCUAAACGAUUAAAACGGUCUCAGCCAAGUCAGGCCAAACUGAACACAGCAGCGUUUUUGUGCCCUCGCUAAUCCUUCUCCGUGUUGUCCGUCCACUGUGAGAACUUUCCUUUCUUUGCAGACGAGCUGUGUGAUGUUUUGCUUCUCUGUUCGUGUCUCUAAAAUGCAGACUGGACCUUAGACAGAAAGGACCGGAAUAAAAGACGCUUGGUUGUGUGUCUAUUUGACAGUCUGGAUGUUGUCUUUCUUUUAAAGAUUUUAUUUAGUCCUGAGCACCGUGUACAUUCACUGUGAACCACAAAGACACUCAGGAGGAAAUAAAACAGAAAGGACUUUGGAGCGAGACGAUCUCGCUGUCGCAGAACGCCUCCACAGUCCACACAAAAUCUCGUCUCUGACUGCCACAUCAUUUAUGACUGUAGUCAAUUUGUAAUUCAAGACCCGCACGAACGCUACAAUAAAUGUUACAAGAACGCUA